This is a small nuclear RNA of Psammomys obesus (fat sand rat), 103 nucleotides long. Lineage: Eukaryota; Metazoa; Chordata; Mammalia; Rodentia; Muridae. The record is from RefSeq and is a predicted model, not a curated record.
GUGCUUGCUUUGGCAGGACACAUACUAAAUCUGAAAUGGUACAGCGAAGAUUAGCAUGGCCCUGUGCAAAGACACGCCAAUUCAUGAAGCGUUCCAUAUUUAA